RNAcentral lists this ribosomal RNA (450 nucleotides) under uncultured bacterium. RNAcentral's name for it is "bacterial SSU rRNA". It matches the Rfam family "Bacterial small subunit ribosomal RNA", at positions 331 to 794 of the family's 1533-position model. The record is from RNAcentral.
CCAGACUCCUACGGGAGGCAGCAGUGGGGAAUAUUGGGCAAUGGGCGCAAGCCUGACCCAGCAACGCCGCGUGAAGGAAGAAGGCUUUCGGGCUGUAAACUUCUUUUAUGAGGGACGAAGGAAGUGACGGUACCUCAUGAAUAAGCCACGGCUAACUACGUGCCAGCAGCCGCGGUAAUACGUAGGGGGCAAGCGUUAUCCGGAUUUACUGGGUGUAAAGGGAGCGUAGACGGUGCAGCAAGUCUGGAGUGAAAGGCAGGGGCCCAACCCCUGGACUGCUCUGGAAACUGUUGUACUUGAGUGCAGGAGAGGUAAGUGGAAUUCCUAGUGUAGCGGUGAAAUGCGUAGAUAUACGGAGGAACACCAGUGGCGAAGGCGGAUUGCUGGACAGUAACUGACGCUGAGGCGCGAAAGCGUGGGGAGCAAACAGGAUUAGAUACCCCAGUAAGA